GCAUCUUAUAACAAUUAAAGAUUCCAUUGUUAAAUGCAUUUCAUGGGUGUGAUCGAUCUCAAACUUAGAAUCACACUAUUUAGUGGAAAAUUCAUGAAAGAUUUUAUUCAAUUCAAAAGGUUUCCCAUCGCAAAUUUUCGAGCUAUUGUUGUGGAAGAGUUAAUAACCUUAUUUUUCUUGUUGAUUUUUGGCGAGUUGAUAUAGCUUGUUCUUCUAAGAAUUCUAAACGAUACCCAUUAUCAUGCCAAGUGAUUUCUUGGAAUCUCAACGAUGCAAGUGGCAAUUCUUGCAGUUUAGUUCCAUAGAUAAACAGUAACUGAAAUUAUUGGGAUAAAGGCUUAGUUAAGUUAAGUUGAGUUGAG
This 362-nucleotide unclassified non-coding RNA is filed under the name Hevea brasiliensis (rubber tree). Lineage: Eukaryota; Viridiplantae; Streptophyta; Magnoliopsida; Malpighiales; Euphorbiaceae. The record is from RNAcentral.